Molecule: small nuclear RNA, 637 nt
Filed under: Erinaceus europaeus (western European hedgehog)
Lineage: Eukaryota; Metazoa; Chordata; Mammalia; Eulipotyphla; Erinaceidae
Description: 7SK RNA
Rfam family: 7SK RNA
About the family: 7SK was discovered as an abundant small nuclear RNA in the mid-70s but a possible function has only recently been suggested. Two independent studies have found that 7SK RNA binds the CDK9/cyclin T complex (known as elongation factor P-TEFb).
Source: Rfam by way of RNAcentral
GGAUGUGGGGGUCAUCUGGCUGCAACAUCUGUCACACCAUUGAUUUCCAGGGUUGAUUUGGUUAAUCUGACUGGCUAGGCAGAUAUCGUCUUCCUUUCUCACUGCUCCAUGUGCUCCAUGUGCUCUUGAAGGACGACCUUUCCAGAUAGAAAUGGGUGGGUUGGGGGAUGGGCAGUAGUGCAGCAGGUUUAGCGCACAUGGCGCAAAGCGCAAGAACCGGUGUAAGGAUCGGUGUAGGAUCCUGGUUCAAGCCCCCGGCUCCCCACUUGUAGAGGAGUCACUUCACAGGCAGUGAAGCAGGUCUGUAGGUGUCUGUCUUUCUCUCCCCCUCUUCUGUCUUCCUUUCUCCAUUUCUUCCUUUCUCCAUUUCUCUCUGUCCUAUCCAACAAUAAUGACAUUAAUAAUAACAACAAUAAUAACUACAAUAAUAAAACAAGAGUAACAAAAGGGAAAAUAAAUAAAAUAAAAAAAGGAACAGAUGGGUCUUCAGUCAAGGGCAUAGGAAUAGCUGUACUCCCCUAUUAGAACCUCCAAACAAGCCCUCAAGAUCCAAAUAUACAGUGGGCACACAGUGAAUAUGUAUUUAAACAAUAGGAUGGACAUGUAAAUAUCUAAAAAAAAUUAGGAUGAUUUAUUU